Molecule: ribosomal RNA, 961 nt
Filed under: uncultured bacterium
Lineage: Bacteria
Description: bacterial SSU rRNA
Rfam family: Bacterial small subunit ribosomal RNA
Source: RNAcentral
AACGUACGCUGGCGGCACGCCUAACACAUGCAAGUCGAACGAAGUAGCAAUACUUAGUGGCAGACGGGUGAGUAACAUGUAGGUAUCUGCCCUUUGGCCUGGAAUAACACGAGGAAACUUGUGCUAAUACCGGAUAAGUCUUUACGGAGAAAGCUUUAUGCACCAUUGGAUGAGCCUGCACUUGAUUAGUUUGUUGGUGGGGUAAUGGCCUACCAAGACUGUGAUCAAUAGCUGAUUUGAGAGGAUGAUCAGCCACAUUGGGACUGAGACACGGCCCAAACUCCUACGGGAGGCAGCAGUGGGGAAUCUUGCACAAUGGAGGAAACUCUGAUGCAGCGAUGCCGCGUGAGUGAAGAAGGCCCUUGGGUUGUAAAGCUCUUUCGUCGGGGAAGAAAAUGACUGUACCCGAAUAAGAAGGUCCGGCUAACUUCGUGCCAGCAGCCGCGGUAAUACGAAGGGACCUAGCGUAGUUCGGAAUUACUGGGCUUAAAGAGUUCGUAGGUGGUUGAAAUAGUUGGUGGUGAAAUCCCAGAGCUUAACUCUGGAACUGCCAUCAAAACUUUUCAGCUAGAGUAUGAUAGAGGAAAGCAGAAUUUCUAGUGUAGAGGUGAAAUUCGUAGAUAUUAGAAAGAAUACCAAUUGCGAAGGCAGCUUUCUGGAUCAUUACUGACACUGAGGAACGAAAGCAUGGGUAGCGAAGAGGAUUAGAUACCCUCGUAGUCCAUGCCGUAAACGAUGUGUGUUAGACGUUGGAAAUUUAUUUUCAGUGUCGCAGGGAAACCGAUAAACACACCGCCUUGGGGAGUACGACCGCAAGGUUAAAACUCAAAUGAAUUGACGGGGACCCGCACAAGUAGUGGAGCAUGUGGUUUAAUUCGAAGAUACGCGCAGAACCUUACCAACACUUGACAUGUUCGUCGCGACUCUAAGAGAUUAAAAGUUUUCGGUUCGGCCGGACGAA